This 66-nucleotide transfer RNA is filed under the name human gut metagenome. It matches the Rfam family "tRNA". From Rfam's summary of the family: Transfer RNA (tRNA) molecules are approximately 80 nucleotides in length. The record is from RNAcentral.
ACUAUAGCUCAGUGGUAGAGCAGCGGUUUUGUAAACCGCCGGUCGUUGGUUCAAAUCCGACUAGUG